Molecule: ribosomal RNA, 490 nt
Filed under: uncultured bacterium
Lineage: Bacteria
Description: partial 16S ribosomal RNA
Rfam family: Bacterial small subunit ribosomal RNA
Source: RNAcentral
GAUGAACGCUAGCUACAGGCUUAACACAUGCAAGUCGCGGGGCAGCAUGGGGGUUGCUUGCAAUCCCCGAUGGCGACCGGCGCACGGGUGAGUAACGCGUAUCCAACCUGCCCUUCACCACGGGAUAACCCGGCGAAAGUCGGACUAAUACCGUAUGUUUUCCAUUGACGGCAUCCGAUUUGGACGAAAGGGUUGGCGGUGGGGGAUGGGGAUGCGUCCGAUUGGCCGGACGGCGGGGUAACGGCCCACCGUGGCUACGAUCGGUAGGGGUUCUGAGAGGAAGGGCCCCCACACGGGAACUGAGACACGGUCCAGACUCCUACGGGAGGCAGCAGUGAGGAAGAUUGGUCAAUGGGCGUAAGCCUGAACCAGCCAAGUAGCGUGCAGGAUGACGGCCCUAUGGGUUGUAAACUGCUUUUAUGCGGGGAUAAAGUGGCCCACGGGUGGGCUUUUGCAGGUACCGCAUGAAUAAGGACCGGCUAAUUCCGUG